UGGGGAAUUUUGGACAAUGGGCGCAAGCCUGAUCCAGCCAUGCCGCGUGCGGGAAGAAGGCCUUCGGGUUGUAAACCGCUUUUGUCAGGGAAGAAAUCUUCUGAGUUAAUACCUCGGGAGGAUGACGGUACCUGAAGAAUAAGCACCAGCUAACUACGUGCCAGCAGCCGCGGUAAUACGUAGGGUGCAAGCGUUAAUCGGAAUUACUGGGCGUAAACGUGCGCAGGCGGUUUUGUAAGACAGAGGUGAAAUCCCCGGGCUCAACCUGGGAACUGCCUUUGUGACUGCAAGGCUUGAGUGCGGCAGAGGGGGAUGGAAUUCCGCGUGUAGCAGUGAAAUGCGUAGAUAUGCGGAGGAACACCGAUGGCGAAGGCAACCCCCUGGGCCUGCACUGACGCUCAUGCACGAAAGCGUGGGGAGCAAACAGGAUUAGAUAGCCCUGGUAGUCCACGCCCUAAACGAUGUCAACUGGUUGUUGGGAAGGUUCCUUCUCAGUAACGUAGCUAACGCGUGAA
This 515-nucleotide ribosomal RNA is filed under the name uncultured bacterium. Its description in RNAcentral is "partial 16S ribosomal RNA". It matches the Rfam family "Bacterial small subunit ribosomal RNA", at positions 355 to 863 of the family's 1533-position model. The record is from RNAcentral.